AGAGUUUGAUCCUGGCUCAGAACGAACGCUGGCGGCGUGCUUCAUACAUGCAAGUCGAACGAGAAAGUUCGGGGAAACCUGAAUAAGUACAGUGGCGAACGGGUGCGUAACACGUGAGAAACAUACCUCUAUGUUGGGGAUAAGCUUGCGAAAGCGGGUCUAAUACCGGAUGUGAUCACUGGGGGACAUCCCUUGGUGAUUAAAGGUGGUUGAGUCUAUGCCACCGCAUAGAGAUUGUCUCGCGGCCCAUUAGCUAGAUGGCGGGGUAACGGCCCACCAUGGCUCCGAUGGGUAGCCGACCUGAGAGGGUGUCCGGCCACACUGGGACUGAGAUACGGCCCAGACUCCUACGGGAGGCAGCAGUAGGGAAUAUUGGACAAUGGGCGAAAGCCUGAUCCAGCAACGCCGCGUGGAUGACGAAGCAUCUUGGUGUGUAAAAUCCUGUCAGUGGGGACGAAACGUAGAGGUAGGAAAUGACCUCUGCCUGACUGUACCCGCAGAGGAAGUUCCGGCCAACUCCGUGCCAGCAGCCGCGGUAAUACGGGGGGAACGAGCGUUGUUCGGAUUUACUGGGCGUAAAGGGCACGCAGGUGGGAAAGCAAGUCAGAUGUGAAACCCCGAAGCUUAACUUCGGGACUGCAUUUGAUACUGUUUUUCUUGAGUACGAGAGAGGAUGGCAGAAUUCUUGGUGUAGCGGUGAAAUGCGUAGAUAUCAAGAAGAAUACCGGUGGCGAAGGCGGCCAUCUGGCUCGAUACUGACGCUCAGGUGCGAAGGUCGGGGGAGCAAACAGGAUUAGAUACCCUGGUAGUCCCGACAGUAAACGAUGGGAACUAGGUGUUGGAGGUAUCGACCCCUCCAGUGCCGCAGCUAACGCAUUAAGUUCCCCGCCUGGGGAGUACGAUCGCAAGAUUGAAACUCAAAGGAAUUGACGG
Molecule: ribosomal RNA, 933 nt
Filed under: uncultured Bacillota bacterium
Lineage: Bacteria; Bacillati; Bacillota
Description: bacterial SSU rRNA
Rfam family: Bacterial small subunit ribosomal RNA
Source: RNAcentral